This 490-nucleotide ribosomal RNA is filed under the name Starmerella bacillaris. Its description in RNAcentral is "partial large subunit ribosomal RNA". It matches the Rfam family "Eukaryotic large subunit ribosomal RNA", at positions 77 to 670 of the family's 3401-position model. The record is from RNAcentral. Lineage: Eukaryota; Fungi; Ascomycota; Dipodascomycetes; Dipodascales; Trichomonascaceae.
GGUGCAGUAACGGCGAGUGAACAGGCAAGAGCUCAGAUUUGAAAGGCACUUUUGUGCCGUUGUAUUCUGAAGUUAGGGUCCUGAGAAACGAUGCUUAAGUCUUCUGGAAAGGAGCGCCAUGGAGGGUGAUAGCCCCGUCUAGCAUUGACCUCAUAUAGGAUCUUAACAUGGAGUCGAGUUGUUUGGGAAUGCAGCUCAAAUGGGUGGUAUGCUCCAUCUAAAGCUAAAUAUCUGCGAGAGACCGAUAGUAAACAAGUACUGUGAGGGAAAGAUGAAAAGAACUUUGAAAAGAGAGUGAAAAAGUACGUGAAAUUGUUGAAAUGGAAGGGUAGGCCGCUAACCAUGUAGAGCCGUGUUUGGGGGGAAGAUAAAUGCUGUAGAAUGUAGCUCCUCGGAGUAUUAUAGAUGCAGUUCAUAUUCCCACCCGAGCGCGAGGAUCUCAGGUUCUACUAAAUGGUGGUCUACCACCCGUCUUGAACCACGGACCAAA